AGUGAACGCUGGCGGUAGGCCUAACACAUGCAAGUCGAACGGCAGUACAGUAGGAGCUUGCUCUUACGGGUGGCGAGUGGCGGACGGGUGAGGAAUACAUCGGAAUCUACUUUUUCGUGGGGGAUAACGUAGGGAAACUUACGCUAAUACCGCAUACGACCUACGGGUGAAAGCAGGGGAUCUUCGGACCUUGCGCGAUUGAAUGAGCCGAUGUCGGAUUAGCUAGUUGGCGGGGUAAAGGCCCACCAAGGCGACGAUCCGUAGCUGGUCUGAGAGGAUGAUCAGCCACACUGGAACUGAGACACGGUCCAGACUCCUACGGGAGGCAGCAGUGGGGAAUAUUGGACAAGGGGCGCAAGCCUGAUCCAGCCAUGCCGCGUGGGUGAAGAAGGCCUUCGGUUUGUAAAGCCCUUUUGGUGGGAAGGAAAAGCAGUAGGUUAAUACCCUGCUGUUUUGACGUUACCAAAAGAAUAAGCACCGGCUAACUUCGUG
This 492-nucleotide ribosomal RNA is filed under the name uncultured bacterium. RNAcentral's name for it is "partial 16S ribosomal RNA". It matches the Rfam family "Bacterial small subunit ribosomal RNA", at positions 29 to 507 of the family's 1533-position model. The record is from RNAcentral.